Otolemur garnettii (small-eared galago) is the source of this 538-nucleotide RNA transcript. It is a transcript of the gene named centrin-2 pseudogene, with no coding region annotated. Lineage: Eukaryota; Metazoa; Chordata; Mammalia; Primates; Galagidae. The record is from RefSeq and is a predicted model, not a curated record. The transcript has a single exon.
CGGCGGCAGUUCGUUGGUCAUGGCCUCCAACUUUAAGAAGGGUAACAUGACAUCAAGUGCCCAGCGAAAAAGGAUGUGUCCUAAGCCUGAGCUUACUGAAGAGCAGAAACAGGAAAUCCGGGAAGCUUUUGAUCUCUUUGAUGCUGAUGGAACUGGGACCAUAGAUGUUAAGGAACUUAAGGUGGCAAUGAGGGCCCUGGGCUUUGAACCCAAGAAAGAAGAAAUCAAGAAGAUGAUAAGUGAAAUUGAUAAGGAAGGGACAGGGAAAAUGAAUUUUAGUGAUUUUUUGACUGUAAUGACUCAGAAAAUGUCUGAGAAAGAUACCAAAGAAGAAAUCCUGAAGGCUUUCAAGCUCUUUGAUGAUGAUGAAACUGGGACUAUAUCGUUCAAAAACCUUAAAGGUGUGGCCAAGGAGUUGGGCGAGAACCUGACUGAUGAGGAGCUGCAGGAAAUGAUUGAUGGAGCUGACCGAGAUGGAGACGGUGAAGUCAACAAGCAGGAGUUCCUGCACGUCAUGAAGAAGACCAGCCUGGACUGA